Molecule: long non-coding RNA, 19803 nt
Filed under: Lactuca sativa (garden lettuce)
Lineage: Eukaryota; Viridiplantae; Streptophyta; Magnoliopsida; Asterales; Asteraceae
Description: long non-coding RNA (LSAT_LNC006525)
Source: RNAcentral
UUAAAAGUAGUUUGUUUUGAAACACAGUUUGAAGUAUAUGAAAUCCUUGUUUGAAACACAGUUAUAAAUCACAUGUGAUUGAUUAUAUAAUUAGCAUGUUUUCUACUUGUAUUCCCCCCCACCCAUAAAAGCAUUUAAAAUCAUUUAAAAGAUAAGUUAAGGGGUAUGAACUCACCUGAAGUGAGUGAUGCGAAUGUAAGAUCAAUAAAGGAUGCUAAGUGUCAUGUGAGGACUUAAGCACACAUGAAUCCUAUUUAACAUAUAAUGACACAUAUAUGCUUACAAUUAGUGCUUAUAACAACUAAUUAUGUAAUGGAACAACCUUAGGGACUAGGAAACACUUGUCCUGAUGUUUUAAACCACAUAGGGUUGCAUAUACGGUGUGCAGGGCCUCUCCUUGGAGUUUAUGGCCCAUAUGGUAAUAACCACAUGAGUUUACGGCGCAUGGGCUUAUGGCCCAAUGAGUUUACGGCUGUAAACUCAUGCUAGCUAAUACUAUUUCAUGUUUAAGGUCCUAUACUUCACUAGGAAGUGUUCUAGACUUAGUUCUAUGGCUUAAGAAAGUGUUGUGGCAACUUUGCACCCAAGAAUUAGGGUCUACGGCCUUGGGAGAUGCCUUGGCCGUAAAAACCCUUUUGAUCUUGUGUUCUUGAUGUUUUAAAGGUGUAAACUUAGUGAUUCAAGCAUGAAACAAGCUAAGGUAAGAGUACUUACAAUAUAGGAGCUUGAUAAGGUGAUUAAGGCUCAAGAACACUAGUGUGUGUUCUUGGUGAAAUGAAGAACACUUGAAGAUCUAACCAACAGAAGAGAUUUCAUGGAUGAAAUCAUGUGUAUUCACUAGAUAUGGAAGGAUAUCAAGUUGAAAAUGGAAAGAUUAAUUACUAGAUUGAAGAUUGGAAUGAAAGUUCUUGAUGAUAAUUGAGAGCAAAACCAAGUUCUAGGCUUGAAAGUGUGAUAAUGAAUGAAAAUGGCCAAGUAUUUAACAUAUAGGCAUGGAGUUUACGGGCAUCAUGAGCUUAUGACUGUAAAUCCAUGGUCUCAUGUCCGUAAACUCCUCAUUUGACGGUUUAAAGCAUGUUUGGUGGUUUGUAACUCUAGUUGACCCAUUCUAGUAUUUGAUCCUUUGAUGUACUAAGCUCACUAAGCUCCAACAGAUUCUAUAUAGUGCUAAAAGUUAGCAGAAUCAAGUUGGACUUUGAUUGAGGUGUAGGGUUUGUACAAGAUAUAAAUUUCGGGUUGUCACAUCAUGCCCCCGUUAGAGAUAAUUUCGUCCCGAAAUUAGAGUUUAAGCAAAUAAGUAGUUACAAAUAACUAAGUAAAAAGAUGAGGAUAUUUCAAUUUCAUUUGAUCCUCAUGCUCCCAAGUGAAUUCAGUUCCUCGCUUGGCAUUCUAGCGAACCUUCACUAUCGGGAUACAACUUUGUUUUGUUUGCUUGACCUCUCGGUCCAUGAUCUCUAUAGGUUCUUCCACAAAGUUGAGGCUCUCAAUGAUCUCGAUCUCAUCGAAUGGGAUUACAAGAGUUUCGUCGGACAAACACUUUUUCAACUUUGAGACGUGGAAAGUAGAAUGUACGUUACUGAGUUCAUGCGGUAGAUUGAGUUUGUAAGCUACAGGUUCGAUUCUAGCGAGAAUAUCGAAAGGCCCUACGUAUCUUGGAUUUAGCUUUCCAUGCUUUCUGAAGCAUAUCAAGCCCUUCCAGGGUGAGACUUUCAAAAGGACUCGGUCUCCCACCUGGAAUUCCAAAGGUUUCCUUUGCUUGUCUGUGUAGCUUUUCUAUGGGUCUCUAGAGGCUCUCAAUCGCUCACAAAUAUGAACGAUCUUCUCUGUCGUUUCCCGUAUGAUUUCCGGACCGGUGAGAGUGCUGUCAGGAACUCGUCCUUUAGCUAACUGGGUGUCACCCACCUCAGCCCAGCAGAUAGGGGAUCUGCACUUUCGGCCAUAGAGGGCCUCAAAUGGAGCAGCCUUUAUGCUCGUGUGGUAACUAUUGUUGUAGGAAAAUUCGACAAGAGGUAAAUGAGUAUCCCAUGCCUUCCCAAAGUUGAUCACACAGGAUCUCAACAUAUCUUCCAAGGUUUGGAUAGUUCUCUCACUUUUUCCGUCCGUCUGUGGGUGGUAGGCUGUACUCAUGUCCAGCCUCGUUCCUAGGGAACUUUGUAGCGACUGCCAGAACCUCGAAGUGAAUCUACUAUCUCUAUCGUAGAUAACAGAUAUAGGAACACCAUGCAGUCGUACAAUUUCUCUAAUGCAAGUUCUUGUUAGUUUCUCCAUCUCGUCAGUCUCUUUGAUUGGUAGGAAAUGCGUGGAUUUGGUCAAUCUGUCGACGAUGACCCAAAUGGUAUCAAGUCCAUCCGUCAUCUUGGGCAACUUGGUUAUGAAGUCCAAAGUAAUCCGCUCCCAUUUCCAAUCUGGUAUCUCUGGUUGCUGUAGCAAGCCUGAGGGUUUCUAGUAUUCGACCUUAACCUUUGCUUUCAUGUUACGCCACUAGUAUAACUUUUUAAGGUCCAGAUACAGCUUAUCCGAACCUGGGUGGACGGAAUAUAUAGUUUUGUGUGCUUUGGCCAUGACCAAGUCUCUGAAGCCACCGUGUCUCGGUGUCCAGAUACGAUCCAUAACAUAUAACGCUCAGCCACCCUUGCUUUCUAGGUUCUUAUCCAUCCUUCUUAGGGAUUCACCGGCCAUAUUUUCAGGUUUCAUGGCUUCUAGCUGAGCCUCCUUAAUUUCUGUAGACAAGUGUGAAUGGAUACUCAUAGUCAAUGAUUUGACUCUACGACCAGAGUAUUCUUUCCGACUUAGGGCGUCAACUACUACGUUGGCCUUUCCGGAAUGAUAACGAAUUUCGCAUUCAUAGUCAUUGAGUAGCUCGACCCACCGUCAUUGUCUCAUGUUGAGCUCUUUCUGAUCAAAGAUGUGUUGAAGGCUCUUGUGUUCCGUAAAGAUAGUUCUCUUCGUACCGUACAGAUAGUGUCUCCAGAUCUUUAGAGCAAACACAACUACUCCUAACUCAAGAUCAUGUGUGGUGUAGUUGACUUCGUGUGUCUCAAGCUAUCUUGAGGCAUAGGCGAUGACCUUACCCUGUUGCGUCAGAACACAUCCGAGCCUUUGGUUGGAUGCAUCGCAAUAGAAAACGAAGUCUUCUAUUCCUUCUGGGAGGGAUAGUAUUGGUGCGGUGCAUAAGGCUCGUUUCAGCGUUUGGAAUGCCUUCUCUUGUUUCUUUUCCCAGUCAAAGGCCAUACCUUUCUAGGUCAGUGUAGUAAGUGGCUUAGUGAUGCUAGAGAAGUUCUGUAUGAACCUGCGAUAGUAGCCAGCGAGACCUAGAGAUUGACGAAUUUUUGUAGGUGUCUUCGGUGCUAACCAGUUCUCAAUGGCCUUGAUUUUGGAAGGGUCCAUGUGAAUUCCCUCUUCACUAACAACGUGGCCCAAGAAUUCGACUCUUCGAAUCCAAAACUCGCACUUAUAGAACUUCGCAUAGAGCUUCUCCGAUCGUAAUGUUUCUAAGACUCUUCGUAGGUGUUGACUAUGCACCUCCUUACUUCGAGAGAAGAUAAGUAUGUCAUCGAUGAAGACAAUGACGAACUGAUCCAAGUAAGGAUGGCACACCCUAUUCAUUAGAUCCAUGAAUACAACUGGUGCAUUGGUUAAUCCGAACGGCAUUACUACAAACUCGUAGUGUCCAUAACGAGUUUGGAAGGCUGUCUUGGGAACAUCCUCCUCUAACACUCAUAACUAGUGAUACCCGGAUCGUAGAUCUAUAUUUGAGAAGUAGUUUGCUCCUUGAAGUUGAUCAAAUAAGGUAGAGGAUAGCGAUUCUUGACGGUAAGUUUGUUUAGCUAUCUGUAGUCGAUGCACAUACGAAACGAUCCGUCUUUCUUCUUCACGAACAAGACCGGAUCUCCAUGGUGAGAGGCUUGGCCUAAUAAAUCCCUUCUUGAGAAGUCCGUUAAGCUGACUGGAAAGUUCUUGCAUCUCUGCUGGUGCCAGACGAUAUGGAGAUUUGGCUACUGGAGUAGCCCCUGUCACUAAGUCGAUUCUGAACUCAACUUGGCGUUGCGGUGGUAAUCCCGGUAGUUCUUCUGGAAAGAUGUCGGGAAAGUCGCGUACUUCUGGAAUGUUUUCAAUGUCCUUUACUUCUUGACUCAUAUCGAUGAUGUGAGAAAGGAAUGCAUGAUAUUCCUUUCGUAAGCUCUUUUGAGCUUGAAUACACGAAAUAAUACGAAGGUUCGUACUAGAUUUGUCGCUAUAGAUAACUAGAUUUUCGUUGUUAGGGAGGUUAAGACGAACUUCUUUCUCAAAGCACAUGAUGUCGGCACGAAGAUGACUUAACCAAUCCAUGCCGAUUAUGACAUCGAAACUUUUAAUUGAGAUCGGCAUGAGGUCUAUUUGGAAAGAAUGAUCAUCUAGAGUUAGAGUACAACCAAUGUAUAUGCAGUUAGUACUUUCCAUUUUCCCAUUUUCCAUUUCUACAAUGAAUGAUUCCUCUAGUGCACAUGGUUUUUGUUUAGGUAAGCAAACAAUUUUCUGGCUUACGAAGCUUCUCUCUGCUUCGCUAUCGAAUAGUAUACAUACAUAUGAAUUAUCGAGGAGAAACAUACCAGUAACUAUCGUAGGAUCAGUUAUGGCUUCCGCAUGGCCUAUCACCAGAAUUCUUCUCACUCCGACGACAUUCCCUGCCUUCGGGCGGUCUCUCUUGAAAUGACCAAUCGUAGAAAGCCUGACCACAACAAUGUCGGGGACUUGGUUAAUUCGCCUUUCCGGAGCCUUGCAGAAUUAGGCAAUGUGCCCUUUCCUAUUGCAGUUAGCGCACUGCAUUUCCUAGCAGGCACCAUUAUGAUGGAAAGUGCAUUUGUUGCACUUGGGCAAAUUUCCAGUAUAGGCUUCCUUGGCACUAUAGCAGCAGGUACAAUCGCGACAUGAACAGCCGCAACUUGCUGCUUCUUGGCAGAGCUCUGCGCCGAUUUGCCUUUCUUGUUAUCCCAGAAAUUUCUCUUGUUGUCAUUGGCUUUGGAGGGUUCUGGGAUAGCCAAGGUUGUUGUGAUCAAUAAGGCGAUGUGAAAAUCGCUUGGAACCAUCGAAAGUAGUGCGGUUUGAAGCUAAGACAUUCCCUUGAAAUGGAGGCACUAGCCCCCAAAUGUACCUCUCAAUCUUCUUCCCCUCAGUGGGAACCAUACUGGGACAUAGCGCCACCAGAUCGUUGAAUCCGACAGUGUAAGCCACUAUGUUGGAGCCUUUCAUGGUCAGACUCCAGAGUUCUUGUUCCAUCUUUGGAACCUCGCCCCUGGGGCAUCAUUCUUCAAUCAUCAUCCCUUUAAGAGCUUCCCAGCACAUAGCAUUUGCCAUUACUAAAGUAAGUGACUUGACAUGGCUAUUACACCAUGUCAGGGCUCAAUCACUGAAUAUACAUGUAGCAAAUUUUACCUUGCUUCCUUAAGUACAGGAACAUAUCUCAAAGAUCGAUUCCGUCUUCUCGAACCAUUGCGAUAGCGCAAUGACUCCACCGAUUCCACUGAGGAUUCGGGGUUUAUAGUUGGUGAAGUCUUUAUAAGUGCACUCUCGCGAGCGCACGAUGAUGUCACAUUGUGUGGAAUGAACGAAUGUUCCACCUCUACUAGUACCCGGGUUGUUGUGGUAUAGUGUCAUUGUUAUAGCAACAGUUGCAGCUACUGCAACAUUAAGAGCUGUCGUGUCAAAUUGUGGAGGAGGUGGUGUUUGAGUUAGAAUAAUCAGAGGAUUAAGCCUUGCCGACUUGCGAGGAAGCAUCUUUCAACUAUAAGUUUAAAAGAUGAGCACAAUGAUAAGAAUUCAAUAGUGAAGUAAAUGAAUGAGUCCCAUGAACUAAAUCUCCAUUGUUCAACAACUACAUAAGAGUAUGAGUUCCAUAGAGUUCUUGAAUCACAAGAAUGAAAGUAUUUGAACAAAGGUUUCUACAAAAGAUUAGCUGACUACCAAUAUCAUUGAUAUUAAGUGUAACGCCCGGGUUUCAGGGCUAAGCAUUUUUGACAAUGUAAUAGUCUAGGUCAACUAUUUUAACUCUUUUUGAGGUAAUAAAGAGGAAAUAUUUGAGUAUUAUGUGUAUUUAUGUGCUUAUUAUUUAAUUAUAAAUGUAAAAUUAAUAAAGAAUAAAAAUAAGCGUCAAAAUUAAAGUGUGAGAGAAGCCGAUAUCUUUAUAUAAAGUUGUAGUGGUCGAAACAAGGAUUCUGGAGAUAUAAAGAACGCCGAAAUCCGAGUUAUAACGAAGAAGUUAUGACCUGUCGAAGUUUCACGACGGAACCGACACUAUACCGGGAAGCGUAAAUAGUGAAUUUAUGAUAGAGCGAGAUUUAGCCUUAGCGAUCUACACGAAAGUCGUAGAAUACGUUAAACCGAGAGCAUCCAUAAAAAGAACGCCCAAAUCUGACUUCGUAUGAGGAAGUUAUAAUUUUUCGAAGUUUCGGAUUAACAGUGUACAACCCGAAAUUCGAAUAAUAGAUCGAGCAGUUUUUAGCCGACACGACCUAAAUGGGAAUCGAAGAUCUCGUUAAUUGUAGCGUAACGAUAAAAAGACGGACGAAAACGGACGUCGGAUGAAGAAGUUGUGAAUUUUUAUCGGAUCAAUCCUGUCCCGGCCUGUUAAUAAUAUAAAUUUUCAAAAUAAAUUCAAAAUAUGCCGAUGGAGUCUAAGCGAAAGUUGUAGAGUACGUUAUCACCUUCACGUGGGUAUAAAGAACGUCGAAAACGGAGAUCGUAUGCGAAAGUUAUGAUUUUUAGAAGUCAGGAAGGAAAAUUGCAAAAUCUGCAAGGAAGUGGUGACGUGGCCAAAUCCCAGCCGUUGCUUGCUGAGCACGGCCUCGCAUCCGAUGAUCGCCACAAAACCUCACCUUACGCCCCGCGUCCGAAGCUGGGUACGCUCGACGUACUUGAUCUCGUCCGGGUCCGAGAGUGGGUGCAAGCUGGCAUCCUUAUCCAAGGAACGUGCCGCGUAGCAAAGGAGUACGCCCAACGUAGUCCGAGGCCUCGCAGGCUAUAAAAGGGGGUGAGGGUCCCCAGAAUUUUCACACAUUUUCUCAUUCUCUCUCUAUAAUCUUUCUCUCUCUAAGACACCAAACCACUCCUAAACCCUAGAUAAAACCCCUAGCACCCUAGAUAAAACCCCUAGCACCCUAAGGAAGCCCCGAGGCUCCCGGAGUCGCUAGAAAAAAGGACUUUCGGUUUCGGAAACGCUGCUCCGAGCAAAACCCGGUUUUCUUUAAAAUCCGUUGUAAGUGAGCUACACUUAGGCAAUUUUUAAUAUAGCUUUCAAAUAAUUAUAGUAAUGUUAUUAGGUCCUUAAAAUAAUUAUUUGGGCUAUUAUUAUGAGUUAUAUUGAGUGUUAUUUAACGCUUAUAUAAUAAUAAUAAUAGUCAGACUAUUAAUUUGUCACGGUUAUCGUUAGACUAAAACCUAGUGGUAUUGGUACUACGUUUUAUCGAAAGAAAAUUGUUUUGAGAGUAUCAAAACGCUGUCCGAGUGCUGAGUCACCACCUUUCAGGUGAGUGCAUAGUUACUUUCAGCUUACACAUAGAUAUGAAGUAUUUAUAUAAAUUACGUGUUGUGUGUGCAUAUUAUCUGUAUACUUGCUAUCUAUGCUGGAUGAACAAUUUUAUACACGUUUUAAAUGAUUUAAACUGUAUAUGUAUUUUAUAUCUACAAAAUGUGUUGGGUAGAACAUGGGUAGAUGUAAUAGUUGCUGUGUGAUAAAAUAAAAUAAUGAGAGGCCUCGUUAUAGAUGUUAUUGAUGAUCUAGUCAUCUAGCGGAGUAUAGAUGACAACCACGUACUAUUGUAGACAUUCCAGUGGAACACUAGGAGGCUCACAACCUGUAGGUGUUUAUUUGCACUUGUGCUCACCNGUACUCCAUCCCCCACAUGGUUGCCUUAAGGACAUUUAUUGCUAAGGAAUCCCCUUAGCAGUAGUGUCCAUCCUGAUGAUAGUCGUUAGACUAGGUCCCUUGUGUUAGAUGUUUUAGAGACGUAAAGUGAGGAUAACAGGAACGGGUAAUCGGGUUUGUUUGGUUUGAUAAAGUUAAUAAACUUAUUUAUUGUGGGUUGAAAACCCUAUGUGCUCACCAGGCUCCCAAGCCUGACCUACUCAGUUUCUUGUAUUAUAGGUAGUGGCGCAUGAGCAUAGAUGUGAUGCCUUGGGAUGAGAGAUUAAGGGAUUUUAGGCCUGUAAAUACAGAAUAAUGUAGUAAGGCCAAUUAUGUAUUGUUUAUGCUUAUGAUCUGUAUCGAACAUGACACCCUGAGUCUUUUUAAUGAAAUAAAUUUCUAUGGAAAUGCGUUUGAUAAAUCUUUAUCAUAUUUUGUUUUGGGACAAAUUCCAUAAUACUUUUAUUUAAAAUGUUACUCUGAUUUUUAAACAAAGCAUAAACAAAAUCGGUCUUUUCUGGCCAUGAAAAUGGGGAUGUCACAGUUGGUAUCAGAGCAUUAGUUUAAGCAAACUAGGAAUUUGUAGGAUUUCUAGACUUAAACUUAGAAUGCUAAGCGAUGAUUGUGUGGUGUGGGUACUAGCUUAUUUUAGGAAUUAUGCCUAAAAUGCUUUUAUGUGCUAAAUGGUUUGUGCCUGACAUGCUAUUAUUUGUUCGGAUCUAUGGUCUGUUGCCGACCGGAUCUGGAAACCUUAUGCGUUUAGGAUUCUAAACGUACGACUACGAUAUUAGAACUAGGAUGUAAACGUUUUGGAGAGAUAAGGAUGAUUUGAAAAUCAGUCCUAAAUAAAGAUCUAAAUUCACCUUAUUCGGUGUAUAGAUCAAGAUGGCAAGGACCCAUAGCAUAAACGUGAAUGCAAAUGGGAACAGAAACCAACCCCCAGUGUUUGANUUGAGCAAAUACCGGUGAUGGCAGCCGCUGCUGAGCCAAUAAAGAUGGCCAGAGUAUAAGCGAUGAUCCAGGCGAUGUUGGAUCGUCAAAUGGAGGAAAUCAUACAUUUGCUCCAACCAAAUGGGGAGGAAGCAACCAUACAGAUCGAACAACCUGAGUGGAACGAAGGGUAGACUGAGGAUGGAAACUACAGUGGAACCGUUGGUCAAGUCAACCCACCAAUAGUUCAACAAAACAACCAAGAUGACGGAGUCGAGAGACAUGGAUGCAAUUACAAGGAUUUUCUUACUUGCAAGCCAUCGAAUUUCACUGGAAAAGAAGAUCUGAUCGGGGUCAUGGAUUGGAUCUCGGAGAUGGAGUUAGCUUUCAUGACGUGCGGUUGCAGAGGAAAACUACAGACCACGUUUGCAGUGCUUCAGUUUCGAGGAGGCGCUGUAUGUUGGUGGAAUAGCUUGGGGAAGAAUUUAAUCCCCAACGAGCCCUUGCAACUGACAUGGGUAGAAUUUAUGGUGUAAUUCAAACGAAAGUACUGCUCAGCUCAAAACCUGCUCUAGCUAGAGAACCAAUUUCUAACCCUGAAGAAGGGAAGCAUGUCAAUCGAUGAAUACACGAACAAAUUCACAAAAAAGAUGGAGUUUGCCUUGCGUCUUGAUCCGGAUGAGUUGACGAAAAUCGAUAAGUACGCAGAGGGAUUUCCAUGGGAGUACGCGGUGCCAGUGCGUCAGUCACAUACUCUGGAGGCAACUAUCUGGGCUACCAAGUCUGUGGCGGAUAUGAUUAAGGGAAGAGAUGCCAGCAAAGUUGAGGUUGGCGAGAAGAGGAAAUUUGAAGGGUCUGCUAAACGCAACAAAAAGAAGAGCAAGUUCGGUUCAAAGAAGCUCAGGGGAGGAGGAAAUGAAUUGAAAUGAUGCGAGAAGUGCAAGAAGAAGCACUCGGGAAAAUGUAGCCAGGAAGUAACCUGCUACAAGUGUGGGAAAAUGGGGCACUAUGCCAAUGAGUGCACCAUCAACAAGAGGGUGUGCUAUGAGUGCCGUUAAGAAGGGCAUAUUGCUAAGGAUUGCCCAAAGAAGAAAGAUGCGGGAAGGCCCAACGUUCCACCAAAGCCGAAGGUGAGAGCCUUCCAGAUGACGCUCGAGGCUGCAAAGGAGGCAGCAGACGUCGCUUCAGGUACCUUUCUUGUAAAUGGUUUGCCUGCCAAUAUACUAUUUGAUUCCGGAGCCAACUACUCUUUCGUGUCGUGUAAAUUUGGUGGAAAACUAGCAUUACCUAUAGAAAAACUUGAUAAUGCCCUGAUUGUAGAAGUUGCCAGUGGCAAGUUAGUACCUGUUAGUAAUCGUAUUAAGAACGUAGUCAUUGACCUAAAUGGAAACGAGUUCCACGAAGAGCUAUUACCCAUAGAGGCAACAAUCUGCGCUGCCAAGUCUGUGGAGGAUAUGAUUAAGAGAAGAGUUGCCAGCAAAGUUGAGGUUGGCGAGAAGAGGAAAUUUGAAGGGUCUGCUAAACGCAACAAAAAGAAGAGCAAGUUCGGUUCAAAGAAGCUCAGGGGAGGAGGAAAUGAAUUGAAAUGGUGUGAGAAGUGCAAGAAGAAGCACUCGGGAAAAUGUAGCCAGGAAGUAACCUGCUACAAGUGUGGGAAAACGGGGCACUAUGUCAAUGAGUGCACCAUCAACAAGAGGGUGUGCUAUGAGUGCCGUUAAGAAGGGCAUAUUGCUAAGGAUUUCCCAAAGAAGAAAGAUGCGGGAAGGCCCAACGUUCCACCAAAGCCGAAGGUGAGAGCCUUCCAGAUGACGCUCGAGGCUGCAAAGGAGGCAGCAGACGUCGCUUCAGGUACCUUUCUUGUAAAUGGUUUGCCUGCCAAUAUACUAUUUGAUUCCGGAGCCAACUACUCUUUCGUGUCGUGUAAAUUUGGUGGAAAACUAGCAUUACCUAUAGAAAAACUUGAUAAUGCCCUGAUUGUAGAAGUUGCCAGUGGCAAGUUAGUACCUGUUAGUAAUCGUAUUAAGAACGUAGUCAUUGACCUAAAUGGAAACGAGUUCCACAAAGAGCUAUUACCCAUAGAGUUAAACGGUUUCGACAUCGUUUUAGGUAGGGAUUGGCUUAACGCCAACGAUGCCGAGAUAUUAUGUCGAAAGAAGAUAGUUAGGGUAAAUCCCCCUGGAAAGGAGUCAUUUAUGGUGUACGGGGACAAACAUAGAGUAAAUUCUGGAAUGAUCUCCCUGAUGAAAGCCAGAAAAUGUUUGUCUAAAGGCUGUGCAUCAUAUUUGGCAUUUGUGAUUGCUGCUAAGAAGGAACAGAAAGAGGUGCAGAAUAUACCGGUCGUAUGUGAUUAUCCGGAAGUCUUUCCCGAAGAUCUUCCCGGAUUACCACCUGAUUGGCAAGUGGAGUUUCGGAUAGACUUGUUACAAAGUACAACACCGAUAGCAAAGGCACCUUACCGAUUAUCACCGACUAAGAUGAAGGAGCUUAAUGCAACUUCAGGAGCUAUUGGACAACGGUUUCAUUCGACCAAGUUCAUCACCCUAGGGAGCUCCAGUGUUAUUCGUGAAGAAAAAGGACGGAAGUAUUAGAAUGUGUAUAGACUACCAAGAGCUGAAUAAGGCAACAAUGAAGAACAAGUAUCCCUUGCCGAGGAUUGAUGACCUAUUCGAUCAGCUGAAAGGUUCGAGCUACUUCUCAAAGAUCGAUCUUAGGUCAGGAUAUCAUCAACUGAAGGUAAGAGAGAAGGAUAUUGAGAAGACUGCAUUUAGAAUGAGAUAUGGACACUACGAGUUCUUGGUUAUGUCAUUCAGACUAACCAAUGCUCCAACAGCAUUCAUGGAUUUGAUGAAUAGGGUUUGUAAACCAUUCCUCGAUAAAUCCAUGAUAGUUUUCACUGACGACAUUCCGAUCUACUCGAAAAGCCAGGAGGAGCAUGGCAAGCAUCUAUGGGAAGUGUUAAAGAUGGAGAAGCUUUACGCUAAGUUCUCCAAAUGCGACUUUUGGAUAUGAGAAGUCCAGUUCUUGGGUCGCGUGGUUAACCAAGAAGGGAUAGUGGUUAACCCCGCAAAGAUCGAGGUUGUGAUGAAGUGGGAACGUCCGAAAAUUCCCAUAGAGAUUCGAAGCUUUCUAGGAUUAGCUGGGUAUUACCAACGAUUUAUCCAAGGCUUUUCUUCGAUAGCCUCUCCAUUGCAGCUUUCACCCACAAAGGAGCGACAUAUACGUGGAGUGAGAAACACGAUGAGGCAUUUGAGAAGCUAAAGAAGAAGUUAUAUGAAGCACCGAUACUUUCUCUACCCGAUGGAGUUGAAGACUUUCGCGGUAUAUAGUGACGCAUCUGGAGUCGGGUUGGGUUGUCUUCUGACCCAAAGAGAAAAGGUGAUAGCAGAUGCCUCUCGACAAUUGAAAGAGCAUGAAAAGAACUACCCUACUCAUGAUCUAGAGUUGGCAGCGGUAGUAUUUGCCUUAAAGAUAUGGAGACAUUACCUCUAUGACAGGAAGUGCAAGCUUUUCACUGAUCAUAAGAGUCUCCAGUAUCUCUUUAAUCAGAAAGAAUUGAACAUGAGGCAACGACGUUGGCUAGAGUUACUCAAGGACUAUGACUGUGAGAUACUCUACCACCCUGGUAAAGCAAAUGUUGUCGCUGAUGCUCUCAGUCAGAAAUUCAACCUUGAAAGGAAAAGGCCAAGAGCGUUGAGAAUCGAAGUCGUCUCGACGAUUGUGGAAAGUAUCAGGAAAGAUCAAGAAGAAGCUUUAGAUAAGAAUGACCGAAAAGAAGAAUGUUUGGGAAAAAUGUUAGUGUUCGGUACAAACAAUCGAGGAUUGAAGGUAUUCUAGGAUAGGAUUUGGGUACUUAAGAUGGGAGGAAUAAGAAACCUUCUGAUGGAAGAAGCACACAAGACCAUGUACUUGAUUCAUCCCGGUAGAACUAAAAUGUAUAGGGACCUAAGACCCUACUACUGGUGGCCGACGAUGAAGCUCGAUGUUGCGAAGUAUGUGGCCGAGUGUGUGACAUGUGCGAGAGUUAAGGCACAAUAUCAGAAAGCGUAUGAGAGUUUAGAUCCUUUACCAGUACCCAUGGGUAAAAGGGAAGACAUCACCAUGGAUUUUGUGACUAAACUGCCCAGGAUGAAGAACGGACACGAUAUGAUUUGGGUGGUCGUGGAUCGUUUCAGCAAGAGUGCACACUUCAUAGCAGCCAACUAGAAGUGGUCUAUGGAUAAGCUUGCAAAUGCUUACGUGAAGGAAAUUGUAAGACUUCACAGUGUUCCUCUUACAAUCAUAUCAGAUCGUGAUAGUGGUUUCACGUCGAGGUUUUGGAGGAGUCUACAAGAGGAGUUGGGGACAAAGUUGUGUUUGAGUACUGCUUGCCAUCCGUAAACUGAUGGUCAGAGUGAAAGAACGAUUCAAACACUGGAAGAUAUGCUGAGAGCAUGUACCCUUGAGUUCCAAGGGGACUGGGACGAGCACUUACCUCUGGUAGAAUUCUCAUACAAAAAACAGUUUCCACUCGAGCAUCAAGAUGACACCUUAUCAAGCCUUGUAUGGACAAAAGUGUUGUACGCCGUUGUUGGCUUGAAGCUGGAGAGAAGCAGUUUAUGGGCCCCGAGAUAGUCCAUGAGACUGCUGAGAAGUUGAAAGGAUUAGGGAAAGGAUGUUAGUAGCUCAGGAUCGUCAAAAGAGCUACGCUGACAAGAAAAGACAACUAAUGACUUUUGAAGUUGGGGAUUCCGUUUUGCUUAAAGUCUCACCGUGGAAGGGACUUAUAAGAUUCGAGAAACGAGGGAAGUUGAGUCCAAGGUUUAUUGGAUUGUUUAAAGUUCUUCAGAAGAUUGGGAACCAAGCUUACAAGCUGGAAUUGCCCAAAGAACUCGAUGGUAUUCAUAACACCUUCCAUGUGUGUUAUCUGAGGAAAUUCACGGGAGAAAUUCCCGACAUAAUUCCAAUCUUAGAGUUAAGGAUGGAUGAGAAUAAGAGGCUGAUCGAAGAGCUUGAGGCAAUUGUUGGCCGUAAGACUAAGAAGUUACGACGCAAUGUGGUCGACUUAGUGCUAGUCCAAUGGAAACAUUCGAAUGGGCCGAAUCUCACUUGGGAAACAAAGUAUUGUAAGCAUUUUUGACAAUGUAAUAGUCUAGGUUAACUAUUGUAACUCUUUUUGAAGUAAUAAAGACGAAAUAUUUGAGUAUUAUGUGUAUUUAUGUACUUAUUAUUUAAUUAUAAAUGUAAAAUUAAUAAAAAAUAAAAAUAAGAAUCAAAAUUAAAGUGUGAGAUAAGCCCGAUAUCUUUAUAUAAAGUUGUAGUGGUCGAAACAAGGAUUUCGGGGAUAUAAGGAACGCCAAAAUCCGAGUUAUAAUGAAGAAGUUAUGACCCGUCGAAUUUUCGCGACGAAACUGGCACAAUACCAGGAAGGGUAAAUAGUGAAUUUACAAUAGAAUGAGAUUUAGCCUUAGCAAUCUAAACGAAAGUCGUAGAAUAUGUUAAACCGAGAGCGUCCAUAAAAAGAACGCCCAAAUCUGACUUCUUAUGAGGAAGUUAUGAUUUUUCGAAGUUUCGGAUUAGUGGUGUACAACCCGAAAUUCGAAUAAUAGAUCGAGCGGGUUUUAGCCGACACGGCCUAAAUGAGAAUCGAAGAUCUCGUUAAUUGUAGCAUAACGAUAAAAAGACUGACGAAAACGGACGUCAGAUGAAGAAGUUAUGAAUUUUUAACGGAUCAAUCCUGUCCUGGCCUGUUAAUAAUAUAACUUUUAAAAUAAAGUCAAAAUUAGCCGACGGAGUCUAAAUGAAAGUUGUAGAGUACGUUCCCAGCUUCACGUGGAUAUAAAGAAUGUCGAAAACAUAGCUAGUAUGUGAAAGUUAUGAUUUUUAGAAGUCGGGAAGGAAAAUUGCGAAAUUUGCAAGGAAGUGGUGACUUGGCCAAAUCCCAGCCGUUGCUUGUUGAGCACGGCCUCACAUCUGACGAUCGCCACGAAGCCUCGCAUUACGCCCCGCGUCCAAAGCUGGGUACGCCCGGCGUACUUGAUCUUGUCUGGGUCCGAGAGUGGGUGCGAGCCAGCUGGUGCGAGUUGGCAUCCUUAUCCGAGGAACGCACCGCGUAGCCAAGGAUUACGCCCAGCGUAGUCUGAGGCCUCGCAGGCUAUAAAAGGGGGUGAGGGUCUCCAGUUUUUUCACAUAUUUUCUCAUUCUCUCUCUAAAAUCUUUCUCUCUCUAAGGUUCCAAACCACUCCUAAACCCUAGAUAUAACCCCUAGCACCCUAAGGAAGCCCCGAGGCUAAUGGAGUCCCUAGAAAAAGGGUCUUUUGGUUUCGGAAACGCUGCUCCGAGCAAAGCCCGGUUUUCUUUAAAAUCCGCUGUAAGUGAGCUAUGCUUACGCAAUUUUUAAUAUAGCUUUCAAAUAAUUAUAGUAAUGUUAUUAGGUCCUUAAAAUAAUUAUUUGGGCUAUUAUUAUGAGUUAUAUUGAGUGUUAUUUAACGGUUAUAUAAUAAUAAUAUUAGUCAGACUAUUAAUGUGUCGCGGUUAUCGUUAGACUAAAACCUAAUCGUAUUGGUACUAGGUUUUAUCGAAGGAAAAUUGUUUUGAGAGUAUCGAAACGCUGUCUGAGUGUUGAGUCAACACCUUUCAGGUGAGUGCAUAGUUAGUUUCAGCUUACACAUAGAUAUGAAGUAUUUAUAUAAAUUACGUGCUGUGUGUGCAUAUUAUCUGUAUACUUGCUAUCUAUGCUAGAUGAACAAUUUUAUACACGUUUUAAAUGAUUUAAACUGUAUAUGUAUUUUAUAUCUACAAAAUGUGUUGGGUAGAACAUGGGUAGAUGUAAUAGUUGCUGUGUGAUAAAAUAAAAUAAUGAGAGGCCUCGUUAUAGAUGUUAUUGAUGAUCCAGUCAUCUAGCGGAGUAUAGAUGACGACCACGUACUAGUGUAGACAUUCCAGUGGAACACUAGCAGGCUCGCAACCUGUAGGUGUUUAUUUGAAUUGUGUGCUCACCAGGUGUACUCCAUCCCCAACAUGGUUGCCUUAAGGACAUUUAUUUCUGAGGAAUCCCAUUAGCAGUAGUGUCCAUCCCGAUGAUAAUCCUUAGACUAGGUCCCUUGUGUUAUAUGUUUUAGGGACGUAAAGUGAGGAUAACGUGAACAAGUAAUUGGGUUUGUUUGGUUUCAUAAAGUUAAUAAACUUAUUUAUUGUGGGAUGAAAACCCUAUGUGCUCACCAGGCUCCCAAGCCUGACCCACUCAGUUUCUUGUAUUACAGCUAGUGGUGCAUGAGCAUAGAUGUGAUGUCUUGGGAUGAGAGUUUAAGGGAUUUUAGGCUUGUAAAUACAGAAUAAUAUAGUAAGGCCUAUGAUGUAUUGUUUAUGCUUAUGAUCUAUAUCGAACAUGACAUCCCGAGUCUUUUUAAUGAAAUACAUUUCUAUGGAAAUGCUUUUGAUAAAUCUUUAUCAUAUUUUUUUGGGACAAAUUCCGCAACACUUUUAUUUAAAAUGUUACUCUGAUUUUUAAACAAAGCAUAGACAAAGUCGGUCUUUUCCGGCCAUGAAAAUGGGGAUGUCACAUUAAGGAUGUAAUAAGUUUGGGGAAAAAUUGACCUAAGAGUAGGUCUUACCUCAUAUCAGAAGUAGCAAAAUUUUGACAGCUUAGAAGUCUAGUUAAAGUACUUGAAUGAGAGGAAUAUUUUACAGAAAAGUGCUUCAUAGAGCACCGAUACGAAAGGCUAUUCCUUAAACCAAAAGACAAGAUGAAUCAGACAUCUUCUACUGGCAACGGGUAUUCCUCGGGUAAACCCUCAGAUCUGCCAGUUGACGUACUACGUCUUGAAAAUGUCGCUCAUGAGCUCUUUGACGCACUCGAAGUUCUAUAACCUCAGCGCGGGAUGCAACUAGCUGUUGCUGCAGAGCCUCAUUGGUUCUUCUUGUCCUUUCCAUGGCUUCUUCGAGUCGGCGAAUGCGGACCAUGUUAACACCUGGGUUAGCUUCAAUUUCCAUGACUCGGUCGAUAGCUGCUCUACCUUGCUGAAUAUUCCGAGCUAUCCUGCAGACCAUAAUGGGCAUGACUCUGUCAACGGAGCCUCCUUCGCUAAGAUUGUAAAAGCUUUGGUUUCCAUUGAAGGGUAAUGGUUGAACCUGCUCAUCACUCCAACGAUUCAAUUUUGUCGCCCACAAGUAUGUGGGACCUUGAAAUGCUGGUCAGGGGUUGGGAUUUGGGACUUGACCUGCUUGGGGUAGGUUGUUGACUUCAGGUUUAGGGUCAGAACCAUCCGAAAAGCCUUCUACGAGGUGAUCAUCCAAAGGGAUUGGAUUGUCAUCUUCUGGCUCUUCAUCUAGCCAUCCAGCAUUGCCCUGAUUUGGGAAGUAUGGGUCUCCGGGGAUAUGGAAUCCAACCAUGAUAUCUACGUGAGAAGUAGGGGUAAAAGAACCAGCUAAUAAACGUACUAACUAAGAUAAUUAUAAGUUGAUCCUUACUAGUUACUCCAACAUUUGCGUAGUGCAUACCAGUCAUGUGUAACCAAAACAUGAUAGACCUUCGAAUAAGUGACCCUAAACCUAAGUCCACAACCAAACAAGGAACAAGGAGUAAAGCAAAGAUCAGAGAUUCUAAGUCUAUACCACCAUAGUUACAUAUAACCGUAGUGUAUCCACUCAACAACUAUUGACAUACCAAUAAACACCUAUUUAGUUCUCAAAUAAGUAAUUAUAGUAACACAAAAUACUCCUAUAGCAUUUUAAGUUUAUGUUAUGUUCUAAUGUUCUCAUUGUAGUAGUGUUGGUAAGUUUUUAGACUUGUUGAUACAUCACAACCAUUCUUGGCAUAUGCUAAUCACUUUUCGGACCAAGAUAGUUGAUCAGGCUAUGUCACUCCCAGAACUGACCAUACAUCCCUGAGCUCACUUGUGAUGUUCAACAGUCGUAAUACUCUUGUUAUGUUCUAGUAUGACACUGAUUUUAGUAAGUAUGUAGGUAUGUAAUUAUGUAUACUUUUAGUUAAGUAUUUUAGUACUUAAAAGUAUAAACUCUUGAUCAGAGUAUUUUAAUCCCGUUGUGUUUAUAGUUUGUAUAUCUUUUAUGGGUUGAUAUACUCGAUUCACAAAAACAAUGCUCUGAUACCAAUUUGUCACACCCCAAAACCAAGAAUGACGGAAACGUUAUGGGGCGGAGGACGUCAUGUAUAGUAUCAUAAUAAUGGGAAGUAGUAAAUAAACAACAACAUCAUCCAUUGCAUUAAUAGUAUAAUUUCAUACAAGUGUGUUCUUUAUUAGUAAUUAGACACCAAAAAUGAAUAAUCAAAAUAUAAGACGAGUCUUGAAGAUGCUUCGUCUUCUCAAAACCUGAUCAUCGGUACCUGUCUACUGGUGACCUGAGAAUACAAGUUAUUUUGAAAGGGUAGAUCAACAUUUAAGCUGGUGAGUUCAUAAGUAUUUGGUGUCAAUGUUUGUAUAAGUUUGAUGAAAAUGUUUGUAAUUGAUCAAUGUAAAUGUUUGAAAACUCCUAGUAAAUCCAAUAUUUUCUACUAGUAUAAAAAGUAGUCUUCUACCAAGACCGACUGUUUUGUAUAUUUGUUCCUUUGUAAAAGUGAAUGCUUUUCCUGAGUAUGACUAUCAUUACCAAAAUAUAGUUUUAUAUUACCCUUUAUGUGAGAAGAUCACAAAUUGAAUAUAGUGGGAAAUGUAUAUGUGUACUGCAGUAUUAUUUGUAUUAAUCACUGAAGUAAUAACUACCUUAAAACCAAUGGUUUAAUUAAGGCAAAAUGUGAUAUGAUUUUUACCAUACUAAUCUGACUAUAACACAACGAUGAAAGACGUCAGAAGAAAUGACAUUUGGCACCCGUAGACUUUCAAAACCCUACUGUAGCGAACAACAAAGGUGUAGGAUAGUCAAUCCAGUAUAAAUCAAUACGCAAACUCACGCUCUCCCUCCAGGAGAUUCUGUCCCUCCAGGAGAUUCUGGUUACAAAAAGUGACAUAAUGAAAUGGUCGAUGUGUCAUGAAGUAGUGUCUCACAUUAUGUUAUCUCUGAAUCUUGUUAUAGUAUACUUGUUAUAGUAAUCGUAUUCUAUGUAUAGUAUUCUCUGUUUAGUAUCAUUUGUAUAGUAUUCUCUGUUAUAGUAUUCUAUGUUAUAGUAUUCUCUAUCUAGUAUUCUCUGUUAUAGUAUUCUCUUUUAAAGUACUUGUAUAUGAUAGUAUUCUCCUAAACUGUACCUAUUAUAGUUUACUAGUAAGUGAUGUAUAUGCAUAGAUGAAAGUAUGCCUUUGCUACCCAAAGGUAUUGAACUGUUUGAAUAGAAAUUUUAUGUCUACAUAUGCAUACUUAAUAUAUAUCUAAUAUUUAGACGACCUUCGGACAACUGGCUAAUACCCUAAGUCCAAAUCCAAACAAAGAAAAGGAAAUAAAGCGGGCUAGUAGUCCUAAGUCCUUUAAACAUUAGGUUUAUAACUAUACAUAUAUAAAAUGAUUUUGACAAUAUAUAAGUUAAAAAAGGUUUUGUAAUACAUUUAAAGAGUUUUGAACAACAAAUAAAAAAUGAUUUGAUGUCAGUUUAUAAAACGAUUUAAUAGUAGUUUGUUUUGAAACACAGUUUGAAGUAUAUGAAAUCCUUAUUUGAAACACAGUUAUAAAUCACAUGUGAUUGAUUAUAUAAGUAGCAUGUUUUCUACUUGUAUUCCCCCCCCCAUAAAAGCAUUUAAAAUCAUUUAAAAUAUAAGUUAAGGGGUAUGAACUCACCUGAAGUGAGUGAUGCGAAUGUAAGAUCGGUAAAGGAUGCUAAGCGUUAAGUGAGGACUUGAGCACACACAGAUCCUAUUUAACAUAUAAUGACACAUAUAUGCUUACAAUUAGUGUUUAUAACAACUAAUUAUGUAAUGGAACAACCUUAGGGACUAGGAAACACUUGUAUUGUAGUGUUAAACCACAUAGGGUUGCAUAUAAGGGGUGUAGGGCCUCUCAUUGGAGUUUAUGGCCCAUAUGGUAAUAACCACAUGAGUUUACGGCCCAUGGGCUUAUGGCCCAAUGAGUUU